Molecule: unclassified non-coding RNA, 505 nt
Filed under: plant metagenome
Description: partial contains small subunit ribosomal RNA, internal transcribed spacer 1, and 5.8S ribosomal RNA
Source: RNAcentral
UCUCCGUAGGUGAACCUGCGGAGGGAUCAUUAACACGUUCCAAACCCCAACUACUAUCAACCCAACUGUGAAGCUUUGUAUCUGCCGAUAGUCGCCUCGAGCUUGACGGUGCGAGCUGAGAUCCAGGAUGAAGGUGAAAGGAAAGAGAGCGAUCUCUCCCUUUCAUACGGGUCGAGCACGCUACAUGGUAUGGUGGCCUUCCCCCUGUCUCUCUGAUGAGCGGAGGAGCUGCCAGCUGUCCUCGGGGAUGACUUGGCCCAACCUAUAUACGAACAGCAGCGAGUCAUCGGCUGCUGCGCGUAUAUCCACACGACACUUUUUCCUCUCUUCACCCUAUAUAUACAUAUACAGAGUGAGGAGCGGAAAGAAUGACUACUAACCUUUUUCAUGACCUCCACCUCUCUCUGUGUGGUGGUCUUUCUCUCACUGACCUCUAUCUCUAUAUAUGUCAGUGCAGUGAUAUGAAACUUGAGUACAACUCUUAGCAAUGGAUAUCUUGGUUCUG